Long non-coding RNA from Dama dama (fallow deer), 2390 nucleotides. RefSeq lists it as uncharacterized. The record is from RefSeq and is a predicted model, not a curated record. NCBI's taxonomy places the organism in Eukaryota, Metazoa, Chordata, Mammalia, Artiodactyla, Cervidae. The transcript has 3 exons.
CAGGUCAGGGAAACUGGCCAACCCAGAUCCCCAGGCUGUAAUCACCGGCAGACCCGACAUCGCUGAACCGACUUGCUGCGGGAAACAGCCCCAACAAGUCCCCACUGAUUUCGCCAGCGCCCCUCGCAUCAAAGCCUCCAGCUCUGCGAGCCUCAUAGCACCGGCGAGGGUACCCGGGAAUGAACUUCGACGGCCAGCUGGCCCCGGGUGGUGGGCGCUGACUACCCCUUUGGGGCGCCAGCCCCGUUCUCAGCGCUGAGCAAGGAUCAAUGUUUAAAUUGAUUGACAUCAUAAAGGAUAUAAGACCUACGUCUACUCGUAAAAGGAACAUCAUGCGAAAUGCCAGACUGGAUGAAUCACAAGCUGGAAUCAACAUUGCUGGGAGAAAUAGCAACAACCUCAGAUAUGCAGAUGAUACCACUCUAAUGGCAGAAAGUGAAGAGGAACUAAGAGCCUCUUGAUGAGUGUGAAAGAGGAGAGUGAAAAAGCUAGCUUGAAGCUCAACAUUAAGAAAAGCUGAGAUCAUGGGAUCUGAUCCCAUCAUUUCAUGGCAAAUAGAAGGGGAAAAAGUCAAAGCAGUGACAGAUUUUAUUUUCUUGGGCUCCAAAAGCACUGUGGACAAUAACUGCAGCCAUGAAAUUAAAAGACACUUGUUCCUUGGAAGAAAAGCUAAGACAAACCUAAACAGCAUAUUGAAAAGCAAAGACAUCAAUUUGCCAACAAAAGUCCAUCUAGUCAAAGCUAUGGUCUUUCCAGUAGUCAUGUAUGGAUGUGACAGUUGGACCGUAAAGAAGGCUGAGUGCUGGAGAACUGAUGCUUUUGAACUGUGGUGUUGGAGAAGACGCUCAAGGGUCCUUUGUACUGCAAGGAGAUCAAGCCAGUCAAUCCUAAAAGAAAUUAACUCUGACUAUUCAUUGGACUGAUGCUAAGCUGAAACUCCAAUACUUUGGCCACCUGAUGCAAAGAACUGACUCACUGGGAAAGACCCUGAUUCUGGGAAAGACUGAAGGUAAAAGGAGAAGGGGGCGGCAGAGGAUGAGAUUGUUAGAUAGCAUCGCCAACUCAAUGGACACGAGUUUGAGCAAACUCCAGGAGAUAGUGAAGGACAGGGGAGCCUGGCGUGCUUCAAUCCAUGGGGUCGCAAAGUCCGAAACGACUUAGCAACUGAACAACAACAACGUCGACAGGUACAGCUGUUUUGGCUACCAGUGCUUUUAGUCAUCUUUCCCUCCCAGCUGCCAAAAUGCUAAUGUUCAAGGGUUGCCUAUAAGGGCUAACUCACUUAAAAAGCAUACCUAGGCUAUGCACAUUUGCAAUACUGAUAGCCUAGUGACUUCAGGAAUGCAGUUUCACCCAUGGAUCCUGGAGCUAGUCAGUACUGGGUAAUCCAGUAAGUGAGUUGUUAAAGAAAUUACAAAGCUGGUUGAGGGGUGUAACUAAACUCCAUGAGAAAGAGGUAAAUAAAAAUUUUACUUAUUAUUGAUUCCACUGUCUGACAUCUACCUAACACUUAUCACAAGGAAUCUGAGUCCCGGUGUAUCGUUUAGUUUUUCUAUACUUCUUUGCAAGGCCUUCCAUGUUAACUCACUGAUUUCUUAAACUGUCAAGACUGAUGUUAAAUAAGAUGCCCAUCAAAUCCCUUUUUUCUUUUUUUUCCCGGUGUGAAACUUCUAGUCUCUGUUUGGGUUUCUGCCAGAAUAGCUUUACUAUUAUAUAAGUCCUUAAGUUGAUCUUUCUUUUUUAUUUGCUUAAAAAUAACUCAAUAAAAUGUACCUUGAUAGGAUUUUUUUUUUUUCUUUUCCUUUCUGUUAUCCUUCAGAGGAUGUUUCUCAUCAGGAGGGUUAAAAAAAAGUAAAGUAAUUUGACAUUUUAAAUUGGAGACCAUACUCACCCUCUGGGACAGCCCACACUCUGUCUGUGGAGUGUGUUUCUCUGAAUAGAUUGACUUCUUACCACUUUAUCUCUCACCAAAUUCUUUCUGCGAUGAGACAUCAAGAACCUGAGCUUCACUAGGUCCUGAAAUGAGGUCUAUGAUCUCUGUUGGACGAUUGCGGGGUCCCAGGCCCAGCCAUGUAGGUUUGGGUCCCAAACUGGGUGUUGGCUGGGAUCCAGUCCUGACAAGUGGAUUCAAGUCCCAAUCUGAGGUGAACGGUUUCAGCUGGACAUGGCAAACAUGUGGUCUUUGGCAAAGUGAAAGAGGAUGUGAAUUCGGUGGAAGUGCUGCAGUCCAAGAAAGGCAAGACCAGCAGAAGAUCACAGUUGCUGACUGUGGACAAAUCUAAUAAAUAUGACUGGUAGUUUAUCUUAACCAAGAGACCAUCCCCUCUGUAGCUCAGGAGAGCACCCCGUCAUCCCCAUAAAUCAAUAAACAAAUUGAAUAGGAGACAGAA